AGUGAACGCUGGCGGUAUGCCUAACACAUGCAAGUCGAACGGCAGCACAGUAAGAGCUUGCUCUUACGGGUGGCGAGUGGCGGACGGGUGAGGAAUACAUCGGAAUCUACUUUUUCGUGGGGGAUAACGUAGGGAAACUUACGCUAAUACCGCAUACGACCUACGGGUGAAAGCAGUGGAUCUUCGGACCUUGCGCGAUUGAAUGAGCCGAUGUCGGAUUAGCUAGUUGGCGGGGUAAAGGCCCACCAAGGCGACGAUCCGUAGCUGGUCUGAGAGGAUGAUCAGCCACACUGGAACUGAGACACGGUCCAGACUCCUACGGGAGGCAGCAGUGGGGAAUAUUGGACAAUGGGCGCAAGCCUGAUCCAGCCAUACCGCGUGGGUGAAGAAGGCCUUCGGGUUGUAAAGCCCUUUUGUUGGGAAAGAAAAGCAGCAGGUUAAUACCCCGCUGUUCCGACGGUACCCAAAGAAUAAGCACCGGCUAACUUCGUG
RNAcentral lists this ribosomal RNA (492 nucleotides) under uncultured bacterium. RNAcentral's name for it is "partial 16S ribosomal RNA". It matches the Rfam family "Bacterial small subunit ribosomal RNA", at positions 29 to 507 of the family's 1533-position model. The record is from RNAcentral.